UGUUUGGGAAUGCAGCUCUAAGUAGGUGGUAAAUUCCAUCUAAAGCUAAAUAUAAAUGGGAGACCGAUAGCGAACAAGUACCGUGAGGGAAAGAUGCAAAGAACUUUGAAAAGAGAGUUAAAUAGUACCUGAAAUUGCUGAAAUGGAACCGAUGGGAAGCAGUGUCGGCUAGGUAGUACUUGUACUAUUUAGCAAGUCAGGCUUUCCUAAUUAUGUGGGAAAAGCUUCUAAACCUGUAUGGGUUAGUUUUGCUGUCAUGUGAUUGAGAGACUCUGACGAAAUGCUUCUUAUCAACCCGUCUUGAAACACGGACC
RNAcentral lists this ribosomal RNA (314 nucleotides) under uncultured Chrysophyceae. Its description in RNAcentral is "eukaryotic LSU rRNA". It matches the Rfam family "Eukaryotic large subunit ribosomal RNA", at positions 271 to 667 of the family's 3401-position model. The record is from RNAcentral. Lineage: Eukaryota; Chrysophyceae.